Molecule: microRNA precursor, 86 nt
Filed under: Vicugna pacos (alpaca)
Lineage: Eukaryota; Metazoa; Chordata; Mammalia; Artiodactyla; Camelidae
Description: miRNA (ENSVPAG00000018120.1)
Source: RNAcentral
UCCCUCAGGAUGCUGUUAGAAUGCAGAUGCUGAUUCAGGUGGAGCCUGAGAUUCUGCAUUUCUAACAAGCGCCCAGGCGAUGUGGA